Molecule: unclassified non-coding RNA, 415 nt
Filed under: soil metagenome
Description: partial contains 5.8S ribosomal RNA, internal transcribed spacer 2, and large subunit ribosomal RNA
Rfam family: 5.8S ribosomal RNA (bases 1-120)
Source: RNAcentral
GAUGAAGAACGCAGCGAAAUGCGAUAAGUAAUGUGAAUUGCAGAAUUCAGUGAAUCAUCGAAUCUUUGAACGCACCUUGCACUCCUUGGUAUUCCGAGGAGUACGCCUGUUCGAGUGUUAUGAAGCUCUCAAAACGCAAUUGGCUUAAAACCUGAUUGUUGUUUUGGAUUUGAACUUUGCCGUGUUAUAACGGCUGGUUUUAAAAGUAUUAGCUGGUACUAGAACGAAUUGGUUCUACUCAACGUGAUAAUUAUCUGAUCGUUGAGGACAUUCCUUUCACGAGGAAUGGCCAUAGUAAAUUCAAUGGACUGCUUCAAUCUGGCUUUAAUUCUUUAUUGGAUUAACCACUUUUCAAAUCUGACCUCGAAUCAGGUGGGACUACCCGCUGAACUUAAGCAUAUCAAUAAGCGGAGGA